This 418-nucleotide ribosomal RNA is filed under the name Corynebacterium auriscanis. RNAcentral's name for it is "bacterial SSU rRNA". It matches the Rfam family "Bacterial small subunit ribosomal RNA", at positions 923 to 1342 of the family's 1533-position model. The record is from RNAcentral. Lineage: Bacteria; Bacillati; Actinomycetota; Actinomycetes; Mycobacteriales; Corynebacteriaceae.
GCACAAGCGGCGGAGCAUGUGGAUUAAUUCGAUGCAACGCGAAGAACCUUACCUGGGCUUGACAUAUACGGGAUCGGCGUAGAGAUACGUUUUCCCUUGUGGCUCGUAUACAGGUGGUGCAUGGUUGUCGUCAGCUCGUGUCGUGAGAUGUUGGGUUAAGUCCCGCAACGAGCGCAACCCUUGUCUUGUGUUGCCAGCACGUUAUGGUGGGGACUCGCGAGAGACUGCCGGGGUUAACUCGGAGGAAGGUGGGGAUGACGUCAAAUCAUCAUGCCCCUUAUGUCCAGGGCUUCACACAUGCUACAAUGGUCGGUACAGUGGGUUGCGAUACCGUGAGGUGGAGCUAAUCCCUUAAAGCCGGUCUCAGUUCGGAUUGGAGUCUGCAACUCGACUCCAUGAAGUCGGAGUCGCUAGUAAU